GACCAAAUAGCUUAGUUGGUAAAGCACCCUAUAUACUAAUGGGGCCCCAGGUUCGAACCCUGGUCUGGUUA
Non-coding RNA from Gautieria morchelliformis, 71 nucleotides. Lineage: Eukaryota; Fungi; Basidiomycota; Agaricomycetes; Gomphales; Gomphaceae. The record is from the annotation of a GenBank genome assembly.